GAAUGUGGGAUAUGGAUGGAGACGAGUUUAUAUAUCGAGCAAGAGAUAGUCAAAUAUCUAGUCACCGUAUUGUCAUCCCUACUAGUGACAAUACCUAAACUAUUAUAACUAAGGAUCCUUAUAUUUUAACAAUACUUUUUAACAACUUUUUGACAACAAGACACGUAUCACUAUUUUAUUGGUCUGUUUGAAUUUACUUUUAAUAAAAUAUUUGAAACGAACCAAUCACAAGCUACCACGUAUGCGUUGUUAAAAAGUUGUCAAAAAGGAGUUGUUAAAAGAAAUUUUUCCUAUAACUAAUACUGUGUUGUUUAAUUUUUAAACAAUCAUGACUUUUUUUUUUCUAAUGAUAAACACCUUUCAAUCACAUCUAGAAUAUUUUUCCCUUCUCCAAUUCGUUCUCGAAAACCCUAGCUCUCCAAUCUCUCCUACUUCACUUCUUUUUAAUCUUUCCCUCCUUUUGGGUCACAACCCAUUCCUUUNCCACAACCACCAUUGCAAUUUGGUUUACCCCAACCUCCAUUGUUUUUGAAGUCUACCAUUCCCCCAAUAUCCAUAGAUUUCUCGUCACAAUCGUGAAUUUGUCUAUCCCUUUCUCCAUUG
This 603-nucleotide long non-coding RNA is filed under the name Vigna radiata. RNAcentral's name for it is "long non-coding RNA (VRAD_LNC006145)". Lineage: Eukaryota; Viridiplantae; Streptophyta; Magnoliopsida; Fabales; Fabaceae. The record is from RNAcentral.